This is a long non-coding RNA of Nematostella vectensis (starlet sea anemone), 439 nucleotides long. RefSeq lists it as uncharacterized. Lineage: Eukaryota; Metazoa; Cnidaria; Anthozoa; Actiniaria; Edwardsiidae. The record is from RefSeq and is a predicted model, not a curated record. The transcript is spliced from 2 exons.
UUCUUUUCAAAUUAUUAUUAUUAUUAUCAUUAUCAUUGUCAUUAUUAUCAUCAUCAUCAUCAUCACCAUGAUCAUUGUUUCGGCGUAAAUCUACUACAUAAAUGACAAGUGACAGUUCGUUAAUAUCGAUUUCAACCACGUGAUUAUAAUCCAUUGUAAAUCAGUCAGAUCAACAGUAACCGAGAUCGGAACUCUGAAAUACAGCUUACCAGUACAAUUACAAAACCUACAGCUAACCAGGACUUUGAGAAUAAGAAAACACGAUCGGAUACGCCACAGAAAUCGAAUAAAUAUAUCUUUUCACAUCGUUGGAUUGUUAUACGAUUUGUGGCGAAAUCACCACGGGGACCUAACGCACCAUUACAUUCGAUUUCUUGGAUCUCCUAUUGGUAACGCGAAGGGAUUGAUGUCAGAAGGAAUCAGAAGAUUUGGACAUGAC